AUAUCUCUCUGUACGGGAAGGAUGAGAAGCUUCGACUAAGGUUCGAUUCGAGCGAAAGCGAGAAAGCGUUGCCGCAGGCAACGACCCGAAGGGCGAAACGCGCGCAGCGCUGAGUCAUCCUUCCCCCACCACCA
Molecule: small RNA, 134 nt
Filed under: Salmonella enterica
Lineage: Bacteria; Pseudomonadati; Pseudomonadota; Gammaproteobacteria; Enterobacterales; Enterobacteriaceae
Also listed under: 1 other name
Description: RtT sRNA
Rfam family: RtT RNA
About the family: This family represents a bacterial cis-regulatory element known as RtT RNA. The exact function of RtT is unknown although it is thought that it may be involved in changing the cellular response in relation to amino acid starvation.
Source: RNAcentral